AGGCACUGCCCACUCAUUCAGGUGUUUUAUCCACACUAGAAAUCAGACGUUUGUGUAUUUAUUCUGGGUUGUGGAGUUAUUUUCACAACAGCGUGUGUAUGCAGGCUUUUUAGUUGUUGUCAGAUAAUACCCAUGUGCACUUUAGGGGAAAUCCUCCUAAUUUCUCCUCGAUGAUAAAGGUUUCUGUCAGAUUUAGGUUCCUGGGUAUCGGGAAGUUGGGAAACUGGUUGCUCUGAAAGCAUGAAAACCAACAACUUUUGCUUGAAAACAGGCAAACUUUCUAAUUUUCUGAAAAGUGCAUCAUCAGAUUUUGCCCAAACCUGUUUAGAAAAUUUGUAUUUUCCCAAAACGUAUUCAUCAGCAGGAGCAUGUAAUUUAAGAUAUGCUUAUUUUACACUGAGAAAGUUGUGUCCUGAAAUUACAGUACAUCAGUGUUCUUUGUCUAAAAUAAACCUCAAGCUGGCAAGAAUCCCAAAGCUUAUAAAGAUCCCUGAUCCUGUAAUUUGCAGUUAGAAUUUUACGAAAGCCUGCAAAAGCAAAGCAAAUGCAGCCUUAAAACUUAAUAUUAUACUGUUUUCAACAGAGCCUCUGAGGGGAAGGGUAGAGACGAGCAGUCUUUCAGAGGUGAAAAGAAGAAGUCUUGUAAUCUUUAGUGUGACUAUAAAUGAUCACAGAGGAGGUGAGGUCCCGGUGUACUGAGCCCUCUUUAAAAACCAAUCAUAUCACUGCUCGGAUCAAGGGGGCGAUCUGAUCCCAAAGGAAAACAGUGUGUGUUGGCUCUCUGUUUGUGUGUGUUACAGGGAAUAAACUUUACGCACAAUGGGCGCCUGCAGGGAGGGGGUGGGGGAGCGUGGUGGUCAAAUGGGAUUUCCCUUCACAAUAAAAGUCAGCGUAUGAGGGAAACGUCACCGGUGUGUUUGCUGAUUACUGAUGACUGUUUUUGCUGCGCUCUGUGUUAUCUGAGCACUGUGGAGUGAGCCUGAUAGAAGACUUAUAUUCAUGGAUUUGUGUGUGUGUGUGUGUGUGUGUGUGUGUGUGUGUGUGUGUGUGUGUGUGUGUGGGCUGACCUCCGUCUCCAUGCAGCCUUAAUCACAUUUUUGUUGCCUGACAGCCAGCUGGCCCAGGCCUCUUUGUGUCGUAGUUAACGAGAUAAUCAGAUCUGCAGAUUAAUGCGUCGCUUUAAUAACACCACGCUUUGCUUUUGUGUAACUGUACUCUGCUGUAAUCUCCGCAGAAGCACACAUAUAGUGGAAACUUUCCCAAACUGCUUCUCAGGUAACCCUGAAAGGUAGGAAACAGCCAUUACUGUGGAGACAGAAAGACGCUCAGCCGUUGUGUUAAAUUACCUGUCGCUUCCCUGUAAAUGUCAAACACAGAUCGCAUUAAAAAUUAUAAUAAAAUCUGCCUUGAUCUGCUGAGAGAAUGUUCAAAUGAGGACUGGUUCAUUGUUAUUCAUUAGUCACUACCUGUUGUUUUCUUAAUUUAUUACUUGUUUGGUUCUCCUAGCUUCACAUUUGGAGAAGUUAAGCUCAGAAAUUAUGUGUCAGGCGUGAAAUUUCUGAUGCCAAAGCUUUCCGGUGUUAAUUUGGAGCCCAAGUUCUAUCGACCAAUCACAUCCAAACAACAAUCAAAAAAGUGCAUGUGGAGGAAAAACAAGAGGUCACAUUUGCAAUUUCAUAACAGUGACAAUGGUCUCGACAGCAGUCAGUGACAUUCACUGCCAUCCAUCUGAUUUCUUUCUAAAUAAUUAAAGGGUGUGUUUAUUUUUUAUAUCUCACUUGAUUAGAUUCUUUCAAGGCAUAAAGUUAAAGGUGUGGUUCUGCUGAUUGAUAUAUGCGUGCCAACACGGCGAUGUCUCUGCUAAGUGCCUGCUGAGCUUUCUUAAUAUUUGACUGACUGUGUUGGAGCCUAUGAAGAAUUUUAAUGCAGUGAUCCACUGGCUUAUAUAAUAACUUGACACUCCAGCCUCUGGCAGUCCCUUUUGGCUGCAAACAUUUAAGCUUCAAAACCAGACUUCACAGUGGCUACGGUCACUUUUUACAAACGGCCACUGUGAUGAUAAUUCCCCAUGACACACACAAUUACUGAGAUUUUUUUACAUAUAAAAAACGGAAUACUAUUACCAACGCACAUAUUUCCUGAAAGCUGCGCACGAUCCAAAACCCGAAUACUGGAGCAAUUACAUAAAUACACACAGGUAAAAUGCAUCUUAGAAGGUUUUCUGUGUAUUUUCCAAACAAAUAAAAGACACGAUGUUAAUUAUCAUCAUCCCAAACAAAGUGAAAUGUCAUUCAGCUGCAGAGGAUUGGCCCACAUUUCCUGUUAUAUUUUCUUGCUUUGUGGGGAUGUCAGUUUGUGUGCAAACACCUUUACACUUUGAACAGAGGUGUGGUCCAAAUCUCCGCCACUCACCUCCCACACAGGAAGGAGUGCUCGUUUGAACGGGAGGAAAGAAAUCUAGGUUAAACAAAUAUAGCCGUUCAAGUUCACACAUUAAACUGCACCGGCACCAGUGAGUAUAACACAUCAUACAUCAUCCAUCAAGCAGCAGACCUUUAGAAAAACAGAUGUUAGCCAUAAACUGGCCUCAGUGUCAGUCAGUCCACUUCUCUCGUUAAGAGUGAAAUGUCUGGAAUUGGCACAACGUUUGUCUCCAGUAUUACUUACCCUACAGGCACAAAUGAUUGUAGGAUACUGGAGGAGCAAAAGUCUGCAUGAACAAACUCAAAUAAGACGACACCUUUAGGGUGAAAGGAUGAUGGGGUGUUAAACAGCAAUGGGCAAUGAGAUGAACUAAAACAAUAGCAUCUUACUCUGACUACUCACCAAAAGACUACCUUUAAUAGCAGCUAAAAAAUCUAAACUUGACUGAUUGAAAUCAUAUCAACUCUUAAACCAAUUAGUUGGUCUGUGGAUUUAAUAGGUCAGUUGAUUGUAUAAAAUAUUACAUGUGCAGCCGAGUGGUAAAUUAAUAAUAAUAUUUUCCAUUUAAGGUUCAAAAAGGGGUCUUAAAAUGUUGUUUCUUUGUUUCCAUGUAUGGUAAGACAAGAAUGUUAUUGGGUAAUAUAAUGUUAUUGCUUGUGCUAUUUCUUUUGUUAUCUGCAUGUUGUGUGCACUUGAAGCUGUUAAUUUUAUAGGUUGGUGUAGUUGCAUAUUGUGGUCACUGGGGGGUGGCAGUGCUUAAGGGUUAACUGCAGUUUUCCAAAAAAAACUUAACAAGAAAUGCAUCUUGGGACUUCCUGUUUACUUUUUUGUUGUGGAUGUGGAAUGGGAAUCUUGUGAAGGAGUUAAAUUGUUGGACCUGAAUGUGCAACGUGGAGCAGCCAUUUUCUCCAUGCAAGGGAUAAGUUGCGAGAUCGUCUGUGUGCUCCAGUAUUCCAAGUGAGCUGAGAUUUCUGUGGAAUGUAAGUGUUUAUAAAAAUGUAUGUAACACUUCCACAUUUUUUUUAAGGAGCCUUGUGUGAUUUAGCUCUUUGUAUUUUGUUCUGCACAGACAGAGGCCACUGCCGUAUUUUUGUGUUUUGUAUUUCAUUUCAUUUCCUUUAUUCCUCGUAUUGUAUUGGCGCAUCUUUGUUUAAUCGGUUAUUCUGUUACUUCGCCACGUUACCUCUCGUGCUGUCGAUGUUCAGUACAAGUCCAUAUGGCCGCUGUUUGACAAAAGUAAAGGUCAAAGGACAUUUUUUUGUUUAUUCAGUUGUCAUUGACAUUAAAACUGCACAUUAAGAACCCCAGUAAUUGUGUCCUGUGUGGCUAACCAUUUCCCAGGCUACACAUGCGUUCCUCUAACAGCUAAAAAGUCAGAUUGUCACGUCUGUACUCGUCUGACUGUACACAUCCGCCAUGGCACAGAUUCAAAGUAAUCCCAAACCAGGACAAACAUAUCCUGCAGACUAAGCGGUCUGACGCCUGAGCUGUAGGGCUUCAGAAGAUGGUGUGUUGACAUGGCAAGACAUAAAUCCCUAAGACACACACAUGCAUAAAGAUCACCACAGCACACAUGGCCUUUACAAGAUACAGCCUCACAUCUUUGCACACCAACCACGUUAUCCUACCAUCCAGUGCUUCACGUAGGUACGGUGCGGAGCUAUAUUUGAGAUCUGAUUACAGCCGUAAAGCUCUCGCACUCUCGUGGCCCUUUGAACAUUGGCUUCAACUCAGUAGAAGGGGAAAUAUCUAAGAGGAGAUUUAAAGCUGGUCCAGAUCCCAGAUCUCAACCAACAGAUCGUUCUUAAUUGGUUCUGCUGAAAGCUGUUAAGGUCAACGUUUGGUCAAUCUGGAAAUAAGAGCAGAGGGUGGAACAAAAGGCCGCAGUAAACCUCUUAGAAAGCAAGUUGAUUUGUUCUAAACAGAGCCACAUUCUUCAAAGGAUGAGGGCCGAAGUCACAGGGCUCGGUGACUGGGCAGCGCUGCAGGUUGAUGUCCUGCCAACGUGUUAAGAAAACCUCUCAGAGCCUUUAGACUCUUUCUGAGGGAGGGAAGGGAGACAUGGUCAGAACUGCUGAUGACAGACACCUUAAGAUGAUAAGUUGAUGCGAAUCUAUCAGACACAGCAAUAUGCACAGGCUUUCUACAUCACCAUCAGAAGGUAGGCGAUUCAUCCUGCAGGAGAACACAGGUCCAAAUUUUCAAGUCCUUAAACUCUUGCAGCAGACUCCUGCAGAAGAUGGCCUAGACAAAUCCCAGUCCUCUACCAAAUCCAAAGCACCAUCUUGCCAGAUGCCCACCAAAAUGUAAUGGUUUCUUUCAUUGCUCGGGUUUCAUCUCUCCAAGUCUGAUGAAAUUUGAUCCUGUUGACCAGACAGACGCAGCUAAAAACAACCUUGGCUCUGUUAGACACAUUCGUAUUAGAAGCAUGAAUGUCUAAACUACACAUGUCAUCCAACCACUUUCUCCACGUUGAAACAGCUGCAUCCAGUAACUAGCAAUCAAAAUAUUUCUGUAGCAAAACCUACAUUACAUCUGUAAUCCCUUAACUGUGAGUAAUCAUAUUUUCUUUCUUCUACGCUUUCGAUCUUUGCUCUUUUGUAUGCCCAUCUUCUUUCAUCAUUUUAUUCAUGUUUUUCUCUCUCAUUCUCUUCAUUUACUCAAUUCUGUUCCAUUUUCCUUCAUUCUUUUCCAUUUCUACAUUUUACUUCCUUGUUUCUUAGUGCUGUUUCCCUUUUUUGGAAUUUUUUUCACUUUCCUUUCCCAUUUGACUCGUGCACUUUCUUAUGCUUCCACCCCUUGUUUCUCCUCCCUCAUCUCAGUCACUCGGUUCAACAGAAAGUUCAUCAGAGUUCAGCUUUUCAUAAACGCAGACUAAAUGAGUGCCUUAGAGUUCACCUCAUGUCGUAGUCAAGAGUUUUAAAAGUUUUAAAAACUGUUUGCAGCUGCAUCCAGGAUGAAGUCUUGUGUAACACGCCUCUGCUUAUUAACAGUCUAGAAACUGAGGUUUUGUUAUUCAAAGGUUUGAUUCUGCAAGCUUGCAGUCUUGACCUCUGCUUAGAGUUGGACAAUAGCAGUGAUGAAGCAAUGGCAACCUUCAUCAUGUCCUCACAUCGAGUUCACACACAGAACACUUUUCUUUCAUGCAAUCAGGCAAAUAAUAGCAGGAUAUUAGAAAACAUUGCUCAAUGUUUGCACCGAAAGCAUGUUGUUCAUAAAAACACCACAGAAGGCAAGGAGUGAAAAAACCGUGUUCACUGAUUUCACAUCAACAGGAACAGUAAGUGAAACGUGGAGUCUCAUUGUCGGCUUGGUCAGCAGAAACCUGUGAUCCAACCAAUAUGUCUUCAAACCCGACAAGCUAAAUCAUAGAUUUAAAUUCGAGUGCAGCGCCAUAGUGUCCAGACAUAUUAAAUUUCUCAGGCUGAAUCUUGAUAAGAUGACAUGGAAUAUUUUCAUUUGUAAACAUGCAACCCCAUCUUGACUUUGGCACAUUAUGAAGGGUCUCCAGAGUUUCAUCUUGGAUUCUUAAAACCUCUCUGUGAAUCAUAGCAGAAGUAUGCUUUGGACCUUAAAGUCCAAAAAGUCUAAAAGAAGAUUGGAAACCAUUGCAUUCUCCCAAAUGGUCCAUAGAACCUUAUAAAAUACCCUUAAACAUGUCUACAACCUCUGCAGAGACACCAAUCAUUCAUAGAACCUCAUUUACUCGUCCUAGAAGCUCCUGUGAGUUUUUUGAAUGCCGUUUGACCCCCAUAACUCUCAUGGUUACAUUCCUGGGCUAUUCCCUGUGUUAAUGAUGAAGUUCUCUGAACACAGAUAUUAGGUGUGAAUGUGAUACUACGACAGUUCUGAUGACUUCCAGGUGUGUCUCACAGCUGAAUUAUAGACCCCCAUGACCUUCCAAGUCCAGCAAAAGGGAGAAAUAGAUAUCCUCAGACACAUUUCUUUCACACCUCUUUAAACUUUUUCAUGAAGCUCAAAACACUAAGCGAUGGCUCACAUUUCGUAGUUGAGCACAAACGUGGGCUGUCACCCUUUUUCACUAACAGCUGCUGGAAUAUCACAAUCCUGACUUUUUAUCCCACAUCUGCAACUUUUUGGGGUCAUUUUUUAACCUCGUCUGAUUGAUGGCAGUCUUUGUAUCCUAACUUUUUCUGUCUGCAGGGUGUUAUAUUAACCAAAGGAGAUUCCCCAGUACAGGAAAAAUUGCCUUGGUAAUCAAGGAAAAAGGUUUUUCUUUCCCUUUUCCCCUUGAUUAAAAAGAGAAAACAGUUGGAGGGUUUGUUUGUUUUUUUACAAAGACAUACUUAUUACUUCUCUCCAAACCACAGGGUUAAGGAUUGCGAGCUGGUGUUGGGGUCUUCACUGAUGAUCACUUAGACCUCAGACCUUAUGACUGAUUCGUGGUAUUUUUGUCUUUUUCUUGGGAAGAACAUUUGCCACACACCACAGCUCUCCUGUCUGUGGCAGUUUCUGUAUGUGAGGAUGGAGCUGAUGAAUGCAGUUAUUUAGGCCUCUACAAAGUGUCUUUCUGACCUUGUUCAUAUUUAUUCUUCUCUGUCUCUGCUCACAUUUUUUUCUUAACCUCAGGAGCCUCUCAGAACCUCAGCCAUAAAUUGCAGCGCUGCUCCCCUUUAGACCUGGAUCCUCUUUCCUGCAAUACCGCAGUCACAUAUUCACCUCAAAACCUCUGACCACAAACCGCCGACAUUUUUUAUUCCUACGUAUUCGUUUUUGCCCAGAUCAUAUCUCAAACGGUGUCACUACCUUGACGUACGAAUCAUGACAAAGCAAACCAUAUCAAACAAGUUUUCCACCACAGCAUGGUGCAACAAACAGCAGGACUUACUGUUUCUGUAAAUGUGGUUUCUCCUGUCGCUGUCCUUUAGCCAUCAACCAAGAAUCUGCAGCUCGCGGGGAACCUGAAGAUGAAUGGGAUCAUACGACUACACAUCUGAGCGGACAUAUCAAAUUAAUCGUGUUAUGCAAGGGCAAGGGGAUCAGGGUCAGGCAAACUUGUUUGUUCUUUGACGUGGCUAACACGGAAAGUGUUAAGCUGGGCUCAGCUUUUUCAGCACUGCGAUGACGUGGUGAAUUUUUCAUUAGUCAGGCUUCCGCAUCUGCAGUCACACACAACCAUGAGGUAUACCGAGGAUAGAUCAGCGCAUUAACAGGCGCGCUUUUCUUCUC
This is a long non-coding RNA of Oreochromis niloticus (Nile tilapia), 7614 nucleotides long. RefSeq lists it as uncharacterized. The transcript is spliced from 2 exons. Lineage: Eukaryota; Metazoa; Chordata; Actinopteri; Cichliformes; Cichlidae. The record is from RefSeq and is a predicted model, not a curated record.